AGUGAACGCUGGCGGUAGGCCUAACACAUGCAAGUCGAACGGCAGCACAGGAGAGCUUGCUCUCUGGGUGGCGAGUGGCGGACGGGUGAGGAAUACAUCGGAAUCUACUCUGUCGUGGGGGAUAACGUAGGGAAACUUACGCUAAUACCGCAUACGACCUACGGGUGAAAGCAGGGGACCUUCGGGCCUUGCGCGAUUGAAUGAGCCGAUGUCGGACUAGCUAGUUGGCGGGGUAAAGGCCCACCAAGGCGACGAUCCGUAGCUGGUCUGGGAGGAGGAUCAGCCACACGGGAACUGAGACACGGUCCAGACUCCUACGGGAGGCAGCAGUGGGGAAUAUUGGACAAUGGGCGCAAGCCUGAUCCAGCCAUACCGCGUGGGUGAAGAAGGCCUUCGGGUUGUAAAGCCCUUUUGUUGGAAAGAAAUCCAGCUGGCUAAUACCCGGUUGGGAUGACGGUACCCAAAGAAUAAGCACCGGCUAACUUCGUGCCAGCAGCCGCUGUAA
This 505-nucleotide ribosomal RNA is filed under the name uncultured bacterium. RNAcentral describes it as "partial 16S ribosomal RNA". It matches the Rfam family "Bacterial small subunit ribosomal RNA", at positions 29 to 523 of the family's 1533-position model. The record is from RNAcentral.